CCUACGGGAGGCAGCAGUGGGGAAUAUUGCGCAAUGGGCGAAAGCCUGACGCAGCGACGCCGCGUGAGGGAUGAAGGUCUUCGGAUCGUAAACCUCUGUCAGCAGGGAAGAACGGUCACUGUGCUAAUCAGCAGUGAAUUGACGGUACCUGCAAAGGAAGCACCGGCUAACUCCGUGCCAGCAGCCGCGGUAAUACGGAGGGUGCGAGCGUUAAUCGGAAUUACUGGGCGUAAAGCGCUCGUAGGCGGUAUGUCAAGUCAAGGGUGAAAUCCCCGCGCUCAACGUGGGAACUGCCUUUGAAAACGGACAACUGGAGGUUGGUGGAGGAUAGGGGAAUUCCAGGUGUAGGAGUGAAAUCCGGAGAUAUUCGGGAGAACAACAGGGGCGAAGG
RNAcentral lists this ribosomal RNA (391 nucleotides) under uncultured bacterium. RNAcentral describes it as "partial 16S ribosomal RNA". It matches the Rfam family "Bacterial small subunit ribosomal RNA", at positions 338 to 721 of the family's 1533-position model. The record is from RNAcentral.